RNAcentral lists this long non-coding RNA (239 nucleotides) under Mustela putorius furo (domestic ferret). RNAcentral describes it as "lncRNA (ENSMPUG00000028778.1)". The record is from RNAcentral. Lineage: Eukaryota; Metazoa; Chordata; Mammalia; Carnivora; Mustelidae.
CCACAAAGGAAAAGGAAGCAGCUGUGUGAAUGGGCAGGAGAGGCUCCUGAGGAGGGAGUGGGGAGGGGAGCUCACAGGAGGUUUCUCCACUGGGGAGAGGGAAACUCUGUGAUUGGAGAGUGAAAGGAUGGGAUCUCGGAGGGCGUGGAGGAAGGGGACAUGUGCAGAACACAUCGAGUAUGCGGACAUAGGCAUCCAGUACCAGUCUCCAUUGUUUCCAGUGCACCGUCAAUAUUCAC